UCCUCAAAACCUGAUCCUGAGCGACCUGC
RNAcentral lists this non-coding RNA (29 nucleotides) under Rattus norvegicus (Norway rat). Lineage: Eukaryota; Metazoa; Chordata; Mammalia; Rodentia; Muridae. The record is from RNAcentral.